AUAAUUUUCAUUUCUCUCUUCGUUUCAAUACUGAUGUAUUAGAGAUAGGUUAGGUUGGUGACAAGGGUUAAUUUGAUAUCUGACAGUACUUUAUUUUAUCUUGAAAUAUUUUAGUGUUUUAUUUCAGCAGAGCGAUGGCACUGAAAAAUGUGGGGCCCGUUUCUUGCUGCUUUGGACGUUUUACUUGAGUCUAACUGCAGAGUAGAUUCUCUUCAUGUGGACCUGCAAGUUAGACCCAGGACACAACCGGUCUUGAGGACUCUUUGGCAUUGGUGGCACUUUGACUGUUUAAGAAACAUGAUUCAAGUGCAGUAA
This 315-nucleotide long non-coding RNA is filed under the name Crocodylus porosus (Australian saltwater crocodile). Its description in RNAcentral is "lncRNA (ENSCPRG00005008960.1)". Lineage: Eukaryota; Metazoa; Chordata; Crocodylia; Crocodylidae. The record is from RNAcentral.